Molecule: ribosomal RNA, 467 nt
Filed under: uncultured bacterium
Lineage: Bacteria
Description: partial 16S ribosomal RNA
Rfam family: Bacterial small subunit ribosomal RNA
Source: RNAcentral
GACGAACGCUGGCGGCGUGCUUAGCACAUGCAAGUCGAACGGAAAGGCCCUGCUUUUGUGGGGUGCUCGAGUGGCGAACGGGUGAGUAACACGUGAGUAACCUGCCCUUGACUUUGGGAUAACUUCAGGAAACUGGGGCUAAUACCGGAUAGGAGCUCCUGCUGCAUGGUGGGGGUUGGAAAGUUUGGCGGUUGGGGAUGGACUCGCGGCUUAUCAGCUUGUUGGUGGGGUAGUGGCUUACCAAGGCUUUGACGGGUAGCCGGCCUGAGAGGGUGACCGGCCACAUUGGGACUGAGAUACGGCCCAGACUCCUACGGGAGGCAGCAGUGGGGAAUAUUGCACAAUGGGCGGAAGCCUGAUGCAGCAACGCCGCGUGCGGGAUGACGGCCUUCGGGUUGUAAACCGCUUUCGCCUGUGACGAAGCGUGAGUGACGGUAAUGGGUAAAGAAGCACCGGCUAACUACGUG